This 429-nucleotide ribosomal RNA is filed under the name Bacillota bacterium. Its description in RNAcentral is "Firmicutes bacterium partial 16S ribosomal RNA". It matches the Rfam family "Bacterial small subunit ribosomal RNA", at positions 355 to 776 of the family's 1533-position model. Lineage: Bacteria; Bacillati; Bacillota. The record is from RNAcentral.
UAGGGAAUCUUCGGCAAUGGACGGAAGUCUGACCGAGCAACGCCGCGGGAGUGAAGAAGGUUUUCGGAUCGUAAAGCUCUGUUGUUAGAGAAGAACGUUGGUAGGAGUGGAAAAUCUACCAAGUGACGGUAACUAACCAGAAAGGGACGGCUAACUACGUGCCAGCAGCCGCGGUAAUACGUAGGUCCCGAGCGUUGUCCGGAUUUAUUGGGCAUAAAGCGAGCGCAGGCGGUUCUUUAAGUCUGAAGUUAAAGGCAGUGGCUUAACCAUUGUACGCUUUGGAAACUGGAGGACUUGAGUGCAGAAGGGGGGAGUGGAAUUCCAUGUGUAGCGGUGAAAUGCGUAGAUAUAUGGAGGAACACCGGUGGCGAAAGCGGCUCUCUGGUCUGUAACUGACGCUGAGGCUCGAAAGCGUGGGGAGCAAACAGG